GCUGGGAGUGGUGGCGCAUACCUGUAAUCCCAGUGGCUCAGGAGGCUGAGGCAGGAGAAUUGUGAGUUCAAAGCCAGCCUGAGCAAAAGCAAGGCACUAAACAAUUCAUGAGACCCUGUGUCUA
Molecule: small RNA, 124 nt
Filed under: Marmota monax (woodchuck)
Lineage: Eukaryota; Metazoa; Chordata; Mammalia; Rodentia; Sciuridae
Source: RNAcentral